UACGUAGGGGGCAAGCGUUGUCCGGAUUUAUUGGGCGUAAAGGGUGCGUAGGCGGCCGUGUAAGUCUGGCGUGAAAGCCCCGGGCUCAGCCCGGGAAGUGCGCUCGAAACUGCACGGCUCGAGUGCCGGAGGGGAGAGUGGAAUUCCUGGUGUAGCGGUGAAAUGCGUAGAUAUCAGGAGGAAUACCGGUGGCGAAAGCGACUCUCUGGACGGUAACUGACGCUGAGGCACGAAAGCGUGGGGAGCAAACAGG
RNAcentral lists this ribosomal RNA (253 nucleotides) under uncultured bacterium. Its description in RNAcentral is "partial 16S ribosomal RNA". It matches the Rfam family "Bacterial small subunit ribosomal RNA", at positions 524 to 776 of the family's 1533-position model. The record is from RNAcentral.